Molecule: ribosomal RNA, 254 nt
Filed under: uncultured bacterium
Lineage: Bacteria
Description: partial 16S ribosomal RNA
Rfam family: Bacterial small subunit ribosomal RNA
Source: RNAcentral
GACGGGGGAUGCAAGUGUUAUCCGGAAUCACUGGGCGUAAAGCGUCUGCAGGUGGUUUCCUAAGUCCACUGUUAAACCUUGAGGCUCAACCUCAAAUCUGCAUUGGAAACUAGGAGACUUGAGUAUAGUAGGGGUAGAGGGAAUUUCCAGUGGAGCGGUGAAAUGCGUAGAUAUUGGAAAGAACACCGAUGGCGAAGGCACUCUACUGGGCUAUUACUGACACUCAGAGACGAAAGCGUAGGGGAGCAAAUGGG